GGGCGUUAGCUCAGUUGGUAGAGCGCUAGGUUCGCAAUCUAGAGGUCGGGAGUUCGACCCUCCUAC
RNAcentral lists this transfer RNA (66 nucleotides) under bovine gut metagenome. It matches the Rfam family "tRNA", at positions 6 to 65 of the family's 71-position model. From Rfam's summary of the family: Transfer RNA (tRNA) molecules are approximately 80 nucleotides in length. Their secondary structure includes four short double-helical elements and three loops (D, anti-codon, and T loops). The record is from RNAcentral.